GACGAACGCUGGCGGCGUGCUUAACACAUGCAAGUCGAACGGAAAGGCCCUGCUUUUGUGGGGUGCUCGAGUGGCGAACGGGUGAGUAACACGUGAGUAACCUGCCCUUGACUUUGGGAUAACUUCAGGAAACUGGGGCUAAUACCGGAUAGGAGCUCCUGCUGCCUGGUGGGGGUUGGAAAGUUUCGGCGGUUGGGGAUGGACUCGCGGCUUAUCAGCUUGUUGGUGGGGUAGUGGCUUACCAAGGCUUUGACGGGUAGCUGGCCUGAGGGGGUGACCGGCCACAUUGGGACUGAGGUACGGCCCAGACUCCUACGGGAGGCAGCAGUGGGGAAUAUUGCACAAUGGGCGGAAGCCUGAUGCAGUAACGCCGCGUGCGGGAUGACGGCCUUCGGGUUGUAAACCGCUUUCGCCUGUGACGAAGCGUGAGUGACGGUAAUGGGUAAAGAAGCACCGGCUAACUACGUA
Molecule: ribosomal RNA, 468 nt
Filed under: uncultured bacterium
Lineage: Bacteria
Description: partial 16S ribosomal RNA
Rfam family: Bacterial small subunit ribosomal RNA
Source: RNAcentral